Orcinus orca (killer whale) is the source of this 3997-nucleotide long non-coding RNA. RefSeq lists it as uncharacterized. The record is from RefSeq and is a predicted model, not a curated record. The transcript is spliced from 5 exons. NCBI's taxonomy places the organism in Eukaryota, Metazoa, Chordata, Mammalia, Artiodactyla, Delphinidae.
UCCAAGUGCCCUCUGGACAGGUGCUCAUAGCGAGCGACACCCUCUGGCUGCAAAGCUGGUCACCUCCCCAUGUGACCAGAUUCCCAUAGCGACCCCCUCUGGCUGCAGGGGGCUGGUCACCUCCCCAGGUGGACCGUUGCCAGUUGGGACUCCUUUGCCGCAGGUGGAUACUCCAUCACCUGGCUGGCACGGGGCCGUACGCUAUUUGUGGUCGCGACCUAAACCCAAGCACCACUCAACGCUAGGAGAAUCCCCCUGGGCUCCUGCUCUCCCUGCUGUGAGUGCCGUUCUCAUUAGUUUCAAUAGGAGAUGGGAAAAGUUUCUUCUCCAUGUACCUCCUUCCCCUAAGUUUUCUGUACAUCCUCGAGAGUGAAAGCUUUUUCCAGCUGCACCCGAGCUGAAAUGGCAAUUUUAUUUCUGUCCUUCAUGUAGCCAGAGCGAGGAUUACCCAGCCACCAGUUAUUUGCUGGUUUCAGCACUGUUCUGGUUCCCACCCCCCUUGUUAAUUGCCACAGGGAGUGUGGGAAAAAAGGGAGGGAUUGCAGGCAGCUCUUGACCUGCAGGUCACAGCGGGGGCUGCCUUUGCAGCUCCCCAGCUCUCUCAGGGGGCGGAAACAAGUUUUGGGAGGGCGGUGAUGCUGAAUGGCUCUCAGUGCCUGUUGCUUUUGGAAGCUGGUGUCGAAACCAGACAGAGAAUGCACUUAUUGUUUCGUUCUAAGAGAAUUCCAAGCCACUGCUUUUCAUCUGUUGAAUGUCUGGGGCUUGCCUACUGAGACAGUGGCUGGAGCACACAGGCUCCCUCCUCCCUGCCGGUCCGCCCAGGCUCGGCUGACCACGGCCACGGCCAAUGGUCUUUGCUUUUCCUUCCCUGGCCAUCUGGCCUCCACCUGGUGGAUAGUCACGGGCUUUCCAGACUCCUCCCAGCUGCCUGGAGAGUUGGCCAGGCUGGAGCCCUGGGGAGCGUGGGGUCAUCAUCUUUGGGUGAAGUGGUCCUCCUCAGCCUUUGGACGGUCCAGCAUGUGUCGCUUCACGUCCCCUGCCUGCUCUGGGGUGGGGGUGGGGGGCCGAUUGGUUUUGCUCUUGCGUCCAGCGCAGUGACGGGACCGCGUCAGAACCUGGGCACCAUGAGAUUUGCUUUACACGUGGCUGGAGGCGAGAAGAGGCACCAGGAGGCCUUUGGGGUGGAGGGUCAACCCUGCUGGGUGGGCACAGUUGUGAAAAUGUAUCCGCAGAAAAUUGGAAGGAGCACUGUCAUGACAGCUCAAUUUUGUUGUCGAACGUUCCGACGUUCUUUGGGCUCAUCUGGUGACCAAUCUGCAGAGCUAUCGUGCUGCCUGGCGUGGCAACCUCACCGCCCGGCAGAUGGCUCAUUAGCUUGGUACUUGUUUAUUCUCCGUGUCUUGUUGUCAUCUGACCCUGCUCUCUCAGACCAUCUCCUUCGGGCGCCCAAACACCGAAUGCAGCUCUUCAGGGCCGUUUACCACCGAUCAGAGGACUGGGGUUCUGCCUAAAUCCGUGCUCCUCCAUCCUGGACGGACCCUGGGGUUAGGCUCCAGCAGCCACCCCUCCCCUCUGCCUGCACCACAUCAGCCCAGAGGCUCCCUGGCGUCCUUGACCUGCAUUCCUGAUCCUGGCUUGGCCACCAGAAUCGCAGCCAGUAUUUACAGAGAGAUGACAAAGAUAGCACGCAGAGUUCUCAUGGACCCUGCACCAGUUUCCCCCAUGAUCAACAUGUUACCUUAGCGGGCUACACUUAUCAGAAUGAAUGAACAGAUCCCAGCCAGGAAACCACGUAACAUCAGGCAUCCUGUCUCCUGGGGAUCUUCGGGCUGUGACAGCUUCUCAGACUUUCCUGGGUUUGAUGCCCUUGAGAGUUUCAAGGAGGACUGGACUUCUUUACUUUCUGAGACCGCAAGACGUUGCAGCUCAUCUUGUAUACUUCCUGCCCUGGUCCUAGAAUCAGCCAUCUCUCCAAGGCACCCUGGUUCUUUUUACUGGAGAAUGGUAUUAAGAACCAGCAUCUGGUCCUGAGUGUGCUCAUUGCUGCUGGAGUUGCUGCAAGGCUCAGCUGUCCCUUACAGCUGACUGAGCAAGAAAAUAUAUGUGGGCCUACUGAGCCAUGUGUCUACGCAUGUCUAUAAAUACUUCCACGUAGAGCCUCGGUAUCUAUGUUAAGUCAAACGUGGCCGUAUUGGUGUCUCCCGCUCGAGUCCAUUACCAUGUGGACCGUUGCUGCACUUCUUCUUGCACAUCUGUUACCUCCCACUCCCACGGCGAGAAAGCCACCGCCUACCACCCGUGACUUGUUCAACUCCAGUAUCUAUGUGUUCGGUGUUUGCAGGGCCUGUCAGGGGUGGGUGGGCUCUCAGGGCCUGGCCGUCUGGAUGUAGAGGUGAGGAAGGGCUGGAGGCGUUUCUGGCUGGGAAACCAGUCUACCCUGUGAGCUGCCCGCUCCCAGCUCCAUAACCAUGGUCACCGAGCAAUCCAGGCUCCCCAAGCUGGAGGCUGAGGGCCAGCAGUGUUGCAGGAGUUUAUCAUCUGCUGUGGAAUUCACAGAUGACUGAGCUGCUUCUCUGCAGAGCGUUCGAUAAGGGGCCUGGACAGAUGCUCAUUUCUUCCUCCCAGCCCGGGCAGGAUGCGGUGGCUGCAGAAAGAAGGAGGUGACAGGAAGGGUGUUUUGAUGAGCACUCACACGUGGGGGGUAGGAAGAAUGCACAGUUCGACAAACCGUCCAAGGCUGGAGGGAAUAAAUAAAGACGCUGGGAAGGGACCUAUCAGAUGACCCUGAGACAAUCUUAAACCCAGGAAGGAUGUAUAAGGAAUGAAGAGUCUCAAACGAAAAAAGACCUACUGUGUAGCACAUGUAACUGUACUCAAUACUUGUCCCUCAAUAAGGGAAAAGAAUCUGAAAAAGAAUAGAUUUAUAUAUAUGCAUAACUGAAUCACUGUGCUGUACACCUGAACUAACACGACAUUCUAAAUCAACUAUACUUCAAUUAAAAAAAGAAAAAGAAAUUAAAAAAAGACUCUCCAUGUGCUGGAAGAGGAAGAACGGGAGUUAAUGUUUUUUGUUUUUUGUUUUUUGCGGUACGCGGGCCUCUCACCGUUGUGGCCUCUCCCGUUGCGGAGCACAGGCUCCGGACGCGCAGGCUCAGCGGCCAUGGCUCACGGGCCCAGCCGCUCCGCGGCAUGUGGGAUCCUCCCGGACCUGGGGCACAAACCCGUGUCCCCUGCAUCGGCAGGCGGAUUCUCAAUCACUGCGCCACCAGGGAAUCCCCAGGAGUUAAUUUUGAACUAAGCCGUGAAUCUCUUGAUGAGAAGCCCGAGGUUGCAAUGGCAACUUCAAAGCAAAACGUUGAAAGGUAGUCUUUCAUCCAAAAGUGACCUCCCCUUUGAAAAGUCCCCAAUCCAGACCCAGGUAGCGUGGGCAGGGCCCCCAGGAGCCCACCUGAUGAGACUGAUGGUUUCAUAAGGGUUCAGCACGGGGUCUGCUCCUGGAACAGGGCUCUACUGGGGCUGGGGUUGAAGCCCUUCCUGUUACUUUGCCCUCCUUGGAGGGCAUCUGAGUUUGGGGCAAGUUACUUGCCGGCUGUGGUCAUCCCCUGCUGUGGCCAGGAGCCCCUCUGUCUGUGUUUUGUGGGUCAGCAGAGCUAGCCUGAAUAUUUUGCUCAAAAGUAGCUCAACACUGUCAGUGGACCCAGGAAGUCCCCUGUAACCUGACCCUGAGGACGAGUUUUUCGUAGACAUUUAUAGAUUGCCAGGAGAGUGAAGAAAACUUCAUCUUCUCUGUCCCCCUGACACCACCCCAAAUGUAGCUGGGACAUUACAUCAGUGUCACGUGUUCCUUUCUCCAUCUCUGAGACGUCGAUGCUCAUCAGAAUUUGCAAGGGAGGUCACGGAGCUCAGAGCUCGACGGUUCUUGGAAGCAGGCCUGGGCUGUCAGAGGCAGCUUCCCCCAGUGUGUGCAUGUGUGCUUGUGUGUACGUGUGCCUGUGUG